This 210-nucleotide long non-coding RNA is filed under the name Gossypium barbadense (sea-island cotton). RNAcentral describes it as "long non-coding RNA (GBAR_LNC016111)". The record is from RNAcentral. Lineage: Eukaryota; Viridiplantae; Streptophyta; Magnoliopsida; Malvales; Malvaceae.
GGAAUAGAUUGAAGAUUACAGAUCUUAUCUCCCUAGGCAUUAGUGGAGUAGAUCGAAGAUGGCAGAUUUUACCUCCCUGAGGUUACAGUGGAGUACAUUGAAGCUAGUAAUUCUAUCUCCCUGGGCAGCAGUGGAAUAGAUUGAAGAUUACAGAUCUUAUCUCCCUAGGCAUUAGUGGAGUAGAUCGAAGAUGGCAGAUUUUACCUCCCU